Molecule: ribosomal RNA, 221 nt
Filed under: uncultured bacterium
Lineage: Bacteria
Description: partial 16S ribosomal RNA
Rfam family: Bacterial small subunit ribosomal RNA
Source: RNAcentral
ACGCUCGACACCUACGAGGCAGCAGUAGGGAAUCUUCCACAAUGGGCGCAAGCCUGAUGGAGCAACACCGCGUGAGUGAAGAAGGGUUUCGGCUCGUAAAGCUCUGUUGUUGGAGAAGAACGUGCGUGAGAGUAACUGUUCACGCAGUGACGGUAUCCAACCAGAAAGUCACGGCUAACUACGUGUCAGCAGCCGCGGUAAUCUGAGCGGGCUGGCAAGGC